This 409-nucleotide unclassified non-coding RNA is filed under the name Hevea brasiliensis (rubber tree). The record is from RNAcentral. Lineage: Eukaryota; Viridiplantae; Streptophyta; Magnoliopsida; Malpighiales; Euphorbiaceae.
GAAAAGAUCAUGCAGUGAGAUCCAUAGGUUAAUCCAUGACAAUAUUUAAAGUAAAAGAAACACGCAAAGAAAAAAUGAGCACAACAUAAAGAUUGGUCCCUUUCUUCUCAGGCUGGGAGAGAAAGGUCAGGGAGUGGAAUGUGGAUUUUUAGAGGCAGACAGAAAUAGGCUUUAUUAUUGUCAACAAUUAAUCUCUACCCUCAAUUGCACCUGACAAUCUUAUUUAUUCUAUCAAUAAACCUUCCAAACAUAUUUGUGUCAAUGGCUUUGCUAGAGAAUUCAGAUAACCAGAUUAUUUUUAUAUGAUGGCACCAACUCUAAGAUGAUAUAUCUGGAACUUUAAAUAACACAUUAAAUUGUUAUUAAAAGGGGAAAAUAAUAACACAUGCCAUUAAAAAAACAUAGUAAG